GACGUAGGGCGCGAGCGUUGUCCGGAUUUAUUGGGCGUAAAGAGCUCGUAGGCGGUUUGUCGCGUCGUUCGUGAAAACUCACAGCUCAACUGUGAGCUUGCGGUCGAUACGGGCAGGCUAGAGUUCGGUAGGGGAGACUGGAAUUCCUGGUGUAGCGGUGAAAUGCGCAGAUAUCGGGAAGAACACCCGUGGCGAAGGCGGUUCUCUGGGACGGUACUGACGCUGAGACGCGAAAGCGUGGGGAGCGAACAGG
Molecule: ribosomal RNA, 253 nt
Filed under: uncultured bacterium
Lineage: Bacteria
Description: partial 16S ribosomal RNA
Rfam family: Bacterial small subunit ribosomal RNA
Source: RNAcentral